RNAcentral lists this long non-coding RNA (463 nucleotides) under Junco hyemalis (dark-eyed junco). Its description in RNAcentral is "lncRNA (ENSJHYG00000015703.1)". Lineage: Eukaryota; Metazoa; Chordata; Aves; Passeriformes; Passerellidae. The record is from RNAcentral.
GGGGGAACCAGCGGCUCCCUCUCCCCUUCAGCUCCCUGCUCCGGCGUUUCUGAGCCCUGCACCUGAGGGAUUCUGUGUGCAGGAACGCCGGGCACCAGGUGAAACAGCGAGGAGGAAGGCAGAGGGUGGCACAGGGCAGCCGAGCAUCCUCCUGCCCUCCAAGAACGAGCAGAGCACGGAACAGCUCCAGGAUUUCAGCAUCCAGCACCAAGGGCUGGAAGGGAACCCGAGGUCCAGAAGUCUUCCAGAAAACAGUUUUAAAGUUGUUCAAAGGAAGGUGGAAAAGCUGAAAAGUCAAACUCAGGAGGCUGGAGCAGAGACCCCACAUAUGUUCCCACCACCACCUCCAGGAUUUGUGGGUAUCUCCUGAACUGACCUUCUCUGGGACACAGGCUGUGCAGCAGCAAAAGGAACAACCUGCAGUCCCUGGAGCAAUAUGGACAUGGAUGUGGAUAUGGAUAUG